RNAcentral lists this ribosomal RNA (445 nucleotides) under uncultured bacterium. RNAcentral describes it as "partial 16S ribosomal RNA". It matches the Rfam family "Bacterial small subunit ribosomal RNA", at positions 354 to 796 of the family's 1533-position model. The record is from RNAcentral.
GUGAGGAAUAUUGGUCAAUGGGCGAGAGCCUGAACCAGCCAAGUCGCGUGAAGGAAGACGGCCCUACGGGUUGUAAACUUCUUUUGCAAUGGAAUAAAAAGAGUUACGUGUAAUUCAUUGUAUGUACAUUGCGAAUAAGGAUCGGCUAACUACGUGCCAGCAGCCGCGGUAAUACGGAGGAUCCGAGCGUUAUCCGGAUUUAUUGGGUUUAAAGGGUGUGUAGGCGGAUUGGAAAGUCAGCGGUGAAAGUUUGCAGCUUAACUGUAAAAUUGCCAUUGAGACUGUCAGUCUUGAGUGCAAAUGAGGUAGGCGGAAUGUGUUGUGUAGCGGUGAAAUGCAUAGAUAUAACACAGAACACCGAUUGCGAAGGCAGCUUACUGGGAUGCAACUGACACUGAUGCACGAAAGCGUGGGUAUCAAACAGGAUUAGAAACCCGGGUAGUCC